GACGAUUUCAUCUCUUUCAUGAGCUUUUCUUGAUUUUUUGCAAGCUCCUGCUCCUUGGCUGCUGCCGUCCUCCUUAGUUUGGCAGCUUGUGCAAACGUUGAAGGCUGUGACAUGGCAUUCGCUUCCUUUUGCAGCUGCUUAAUUUCUGCACGCAACUUCAACUCCGCAGCAUUAACAGCAACUCUACUGGUAUUGAGUUCGAC
RNAcentral lists this unclassified non-coding RNA (203 nucleotides) under Hevea brasiliensis (rubber tree). The record is from RNAcentral. Lineage: Eukaryota; Viridiplantae; Streptophyta; Magnoliopsida; Malpighiales; Euphorbiaceae.